This 224-nucleotide long non-coding RNA is filed under the name Hordeum vulgare. Its description in RNAcentral is "long non-coding RNA (HVUL_LNC012514)". Lineage: Eukaryota; Viridiplantae; Streptophyta; Magnoliopsida; Poales; Poaceae. The record is from RNAcentral.
UCAUGAGGCUACACAAGCAAGGCCAAACCUAGGGAUCCCAAAUACACCCAACGUAAGUUUUGUCCUCCCGGUUUAACUAAGACCAUGAAAAAGAGAUUACAACGUAUGAGGAACCAUGAGAAGGUAGAGCGCGAAGAAGAGAAGCAAAUGGAUGAAUUGUUCCAUGAAAUUCGUCCCACGGUACUCACAAAGCAAGUAUGGAGGCCUAAACAAAAAUAAAACAC